UAACGAGGUUUGAGUCCUCUUCUUACCA
RNAcentral lists this transfer RNA (28 nucleotides) under Lutjanus lunulatus. RNAcentral describes it as "partial tRNA-Tyr". Lineage: Eukaryota; Metazoa; Chordata; Actinopteri; Lutjaniformes; Lutjanidae. The record is from RNAcentral.